GGGGAAUAUUGGACAAUGGGGGCAACCCUGAUCCAGCAAUGCCGCGUGUGUGAAGAAGGUCUUCGGGUUGUAAAGCACUUUCGACGGGGACGAUGAUGACGGUACCCGUAGAAGAAGCCCCGGCUAACUUCGUGCCAGCAGCCGCGGUAAUACGAAGGGGGCUAGCGUUGCUCGGAAUGACUGGGCGUAAAGGGCGUGUAGGCGGUUUACACAGUCAGAUGUGAAAUCCCCGGGCUUAACCUGGGAGCUGCAUUUGAUACGUGUAGACUAGAGUGUGAGAGAGGGUUGUGGAAUUCCCCAGUGUAGAGGUGAAAUUC
RNAcentral lists this ribosomal RNA (317 nucleotides) under uncultured bacterium. RNAcentral describes it as "partial 16S ribosomal RNA". It matches the Rfam family "Bacterial small subunit ribosomal RNA", at positions 356 to 689 of the family's 1533-position model. The record is from RNAcentral.